Molecule: ribosomal RNA, 497 nt
Filed under: uncultured bacterium
Lineage: Bacteria
Description: partial 16S ribosomal RNA
Rfam family: Bacterial small subunit ribosomal RNA
Source: RNAcentral
GAUGAACGCUGGCGGCGUGCCUAAUACAUGCAAGUCGAGCGAACAGACGAGGAGCUUGCUCCUCUGACGUUAGCGGCGGACGGGUGAGUAACACGUGGAUAACCUACCUAUAAGACUGGGAUAACUUCGGGAAACCGGAGCUAAUACCGGAUAAUAUAUUGAACCGCAUGGUUCAAUAGUGAAAGACGGUUUUGCUGUCACUUAUAGAUGGAUCCGCGCCGCAUUAGCUAGGUGGUAAGGUAACGGCUUACCAAGGCGACGAUGCGUAGCCGACCUGAGAGGGUGAUCGGCCACACUGGAACUGAGACACGGUCCAGACUCCUACGGGAGGCAGCAGUAGGGAAUCUUCCGCAAUGGGCGAAAGCCUGACGGAGCAACGCCGCGUGAGUGAUGAAGGUCUUCGGAUCGUAAAGCUCUGUUAUUAGGGAAGAACAAAUGUGUAAGUAACUAUGCACGUCUUGACGGUACCUAAUCAGAAAGCCACGGCUAACUACGUG